This is an RNA transcript of Cebus imitator (Panamanian white-faced capuchin), 1621 nucleotides long. It is a transcript of the gene named receptor transporter protein 5 (putative), with no coding region annotated. NCBI's taxonomy places the organism in Eukaryota, Metazoa, Chordata, Mammalia, Primates, Cebidae. The record is from RefSeq and is a predicted model, not a curated record. The transcript has 3 exons.
GGCACGCGGCCCUUCCUCUGCAGGCUGGUCUUGCACAUUCUGAAGGACUGCUAUAGAGAGGGCCUCAGCCUGAGCCUGCUCACCAGGGCAGCCUAUGAGGGCUGCUUCGAGGCCUCUGAGCUGGGGGUCUGCUUCUUCCAGAAGGCCCCACUCCCUGCCUGGAGCGCCAACACCACAAAAGGCACCUUCCCUGCCAUGGCCUGGAGUGGCACCACCGCUGCCUCCAAGGGCAAACAGCUGCCUGCCCCUGGCGACAGCCUCAGCAAUGAUGGCGGUGUCGCUGCCAUCCCCUUCUCCCUUGUGGGUGCCGGCAAUGACCAGGCGUCCGUCACUGAGGGCUUUGCCACCCCUGUGGGGGCCUCCCUCCUUGUGACCAGCAGCCCUGGGGGCCCCAUCACUGGCCAGGGCUCCAUCGACCUGUCUGGGGAUUCUGUGGCCAUGUGGGGGGGCAAAGGCUUCCGGGUAGACUUUGGAGACCCCGUCUUCCAUGGCCCCAGCCUCCUCUGUAGCAGCAUCCAGACCUUCUAGCUCAACGGCUUCCUCUUCGAAAGCUGGGGAUCCCUCUGCAGCCCUGUUGGUGUGGCCUAGGGCCCCGGGCCCUGCCUCCCUCAGCAAUGGCCCGGUCUCUGCGGGGAAACUCAUGCCAACCCUGUUCUACUGUGUGGGUCUCUCCGCCAGUGGGAUGGGCUCCCUCACCCUACCCUCCUCUGUCACCGACAUCUUCACCAAUACUGCCAGCAACUACGCCCUCUCGGAGGCCACCAAUGGCCCUGUGGCCGCUGAUGAGGCCUCGGUCACCUUACCCUUCAACUUUACUGAUGUCAAAGGCGCCGUUGCUGAGAUGGUUGAAGGCGACAGGAAGGAAGGAGGUGGCCAGGGCCUGGUCCCUGCGGGUCACGACCCCCUUCUAGAGACCAACGCUGGUGGCCUUGCCUCCCAGGUCAAGGGCUCCCUAGGUCCUCUUUCUUCCCUGCUGACGUCCAAGGCAAAGAUUCUUUUACUGACAUCACCCAAGGCAGAGAAGAAAGGUGGCCUCCUCACCGCGGGUCACCACCUCCCUCCGGAGGCCAACGCUGAGGGCCCUGUCACCGUGAGCACGUACAGAGACCCCGGCGGCCUCAGGAGGUUCCAUCCUACACAGAGGCUGGAGACAGCAGCCAACCUGCCAGUGACAAGGCCAGGCGUCCCAGGAGAAACCUGAAUCCAGGCUCUCGGGGCCCAACUGCCGGAUGGCAGCCCCAAACGCUGACUCACUCAGAGGGCCGGAGCCAGCCUUGCCCUGGGUAAAAAUGGGAGCGAAGGCACUGUGUGCACCCGCUGGUGUGCGGCUCAGCCCUGAAGGCAAACGCGCUGCUGGGAGUGCUGAGGGCGCUGUCGCCGUCACCGGAAAGCCGAGGCACAGACACCAGCCCAAAAGCCAAGCGCAGGCCUGGCGCUCACAUGCCAGGCAGCCCAAGCUGAGCUCUCACCCUGAGCCACACCUGAGUUCUCACCUGAGGCUCCUGUAUGGGUUUGAGUGGCCAGGUUGGGCCUAAUAUGAGGUAACAAUAACGACUUUUGGCAACUUAGUUGAUAGUAGAGACAUUUCAUAUCAGAGUCAAAGAAGAUGAGAGGCAGACAC